This is a long non-coding RNA of Psammomys obesus (fat sand rat), 1760 nucleotides long. RefSeq lists it as uncharacterized. NCBI's taxonomy places the organism in Eukaryota, Metazoa, Chordata, Mammalia, Rodentia, Muridae. The transcript is spliced from 3 exons. The record is from RefSeq and is a predicted model, not a curated record.
GUCUGAGCUAAACCACCGGCUUCUGGUCGCUGCUUCUUCUCCCACAUAGGGGAACAUCUCCAGGACGAGGUCACUCUGCAACUUCAGUGUCCAUCUGCCAAGCGUGGAACACCCUACACAGGCUUCUGCUGCUGACAAAAACCCUUUGUAUGCACACGCCUCAGAACGGCUGCUCGGAAUUCAGCUGUGCCCUUCCCAGGUUCCAUCUUCCCAAGUAAAUAAAGUGCUCGGCCCUGUCUGUGGCCCUGGUAAGUUGGCCACAGUACCCUGAGGCCGAGCUGCACCUGUUCCUAAGUGCUGGGCAGAGGACAGCAGAGAAGCAGAGCGGUCAUAAAGGACAAGAAAGUGAGGGUUGGACAAGUCUAGAAAGACUGCGAAGUUGGAGCCAGGGCCCAUAGGCGGAAACUCCUUCGUUUCAAAUUCUAUGAAACCUAAAUUCUAAAUAAAAUGUUAGAAGCUCAGUUCUGUACAAAUCUUCACUCCACCUGGCACAAAGAAAUUGUUCCUAGCUGAUGAGUCUUGGGCAAGAAAAGCAGUCCAUGUUCGCAUGGUUCCCCAUAAGAUAGCAUGUAACUUUGAGAGAAUAAAAUUGUCAAAUUAUUAAUAAUGGACAAAAGAUUCUAAAGUUCUUCUGUCGAUAAUGCUCAGUGUUACCCUUCGGUUGUUGGCCUCACAAGUCCUUAAAGACUGCAUUUUCUGGUAGAACUUUCUGGCGGAAAGUCAGCUAUAGUUGUCUCUGAACACACGACUCUUCCUGCCCCAAACGAUGUGAUGCACUGUGGUGUUUUCUUUCAUGAGAUGUUCAUUUUCUUUAUAUUCUUGCAAAAUCAUGCACACAUGAUUUAUAAUUGUGCCAUCAAGGAAAUUAAAAGUCAAAGGAUCUGUUCUCAUAAUCACCUACUUAGCUUUCAGAAUAGGCACUGUUUCAGUUUGGAGAAAAAUGGUAUUUGUUUUUUAAAAUCUCUUCCAAAGAGCAUGAGAUGUCCUUUACAUAAAACAUUCCAAAUAAGCAAAUACAUAAAAACAGGUAGCAGAUUAGUAGUUUCUUAUAAAGGGGAGGAGGAGGGAAGAUGGAGCUCCUUCGCAGGAUGACUAAAAAUUCCACUGAAUUACUUACUUAAAAGCAGCAGGCUGAAUGGUAUGUGGGGUUCUACCUUAGUAAAGACAGGAAGAGGUUAAACGACCAUGAGCUCUGGCAGGUGCCUGUAGCCCAAGAAAGGUAAAAGAAGGGCAGAGCCAUUGGUCAGGAGGCUCCUCAGAGAGGUGCUGUGUGAGCAGAGGAGCCAUGGGUGAGCACAGUCUUCAUUAUGAAGAGCCUGGGCUGUCCUAUGUGAGUGAUAAUGGAUCGCUGGCUGAAAUUUGAAGAACAGCAUCAUGUGCUGUCACACAAGUCUCCUAAAGACAAGCAAAUCUGUCAUCAGCUCCUCUCCUGUGUCCUUCACUGUGGCCUCACAUAGAAACACUCCAUGAUGCUACGGUACAGCACAACCACGGAAGAAAGUGUCAGCGUGAAGUCGUUCGGGAGCCUCUUGCUCAAGGACAAACAGGCCGAGGAACUGCAUGCAGCUGGUGAUUAAUGGAUUGUGGGUCUGGUGAUUUAUAGUAAUCAAAGGAAAAGGCAUCCUAAUGAUCAUUUUUGAGCUGGAUAAUUACCAAUCUAUUAAACAAAUUCAUCAUUUCCCUAAGGCAAAAAAAUGCUACAAUGCAUUCUCUUUUUGUGUAAAUGGGGUAAGCUCAGAGAGAUAUAUUAGUCAAAUUAU